This 459-nucleotide ribosomal RNA is filed under the name uncultured bacterium. Its description in RNAcentral is "partial 16S ribosomal RNA". It matches the Rfam family "Bacterial small subunit ribosomal RNA", at positions 338 to 795 of the family's 1533-position model. The record is from RNAcentral.
CCUACGGGUGGCAGCAGUGAGGAAUAUUGGUCAAUGGGCGGAAGCCUGAACCAGCCAAGUAGCGUGCGGGAUGAAGGCCCUACGGGUCGUAAACCGCUUUUGCACGGGGAUAACACCCUCCACUUGUGGAGGUCUGCAGGUACCGUGCGAAUAAGGGCCGGCUAAUUCCGUGCCAGCAGCCGCGGUAAUACGGAAGGCCCGAGCGUUAUCCGGAUUCUUUGGGCUUAAAGGGAGCGUAGGCGGGCGUUAAAGUCAGCUGUAAAAUCGCGCGGCUCAACCGCGCCCCGAGGUUGAAAAUGGAGGCCUUGAGUACACAACAGGCAGGCGGAAUUCGUGGUGUAGCGGUGAAAUGCAUAGAGAUCACGAGGAACCCCGAUUGCGAAGGCAGCCUGCCGGGGUGCGACUGACGCUGAGGCUCGAAGGUGCGGGUAUCAAACAGGAUUAGAUACCCGAGUAGUC